Molecule: ribosomal RNA, 468 nt
Filed under: uncultured bacterium
Lineage: Bacteria
Description: partial 16S ribosomal RNA
Rfam family: Bacterial small subunit ribosomal RNA
Source: RNAcentral
GACGAACGCUGGCGGCGUGCUUAACACAUGCAAGUCGAACGGAAAGGCCCUGCUUUUGUGGGGUGCUCGAGUGGCGAACGGGUGAGUAACACGUGAGUAACCUGCCCUUGACUUUGGGAUAACUUCAGGAAACUGGGGCUAAUACCGGAUAGGAGCUCCUGCUGCAUGGUGGGGGUUGGAAAGUUUCGGCGGUUGGGGAUGGACUCGCGGCUUAUCAGCUUGUUGGUGGGGUAGUGGCUUACCAAGGCUUUGACGGGUAGCCGGCCUGAGAGGGUAACCGGCCACAUUGGGACUGAGAUACGGCCCAGUCUCCUACGGGAGGCAGCAGUGGGGAAUAUUGCACAGUGGGCGGAAGCCUGAUGCAGCAACGCCGCGUGCGGGAUGACGGCCUUCGGGUUGUAAACCGCUUUCGCCUGUGACGAAGCGUGAGUGACGGUAAUGGGUAAAGAAGCACCGGCUAACUACGUG